CGGGUGAGUAACACGUGAGCAACCUGCCUUUCAGAGGGGGAUAACAGUUGGAAACGACUGCUAAUACCGCAUAACGCUGCGAUGGGGCAUCCCGAUGCAGCCAAAGGAGCAAUCCGCUGGAAGAUGGGCUCGCGGCCGAUUAGCUAGUUGGUGGGGCAACGGCCCACCAAGGCGACGAUCGGUAGCCGGACUGAGAGGUUGGACGGCCACAUUGGGACUGAGACACGGCCCAAACUCCUACGGGAGGCAGCAG
This 253-nucleotide ribosomal RNA is filed under the name uncultured bacterium. Its description in RNAcentral is "partial 16S ribosomal RNA". It matches the Rfam family "Bacterial small subunit ribosomal RNA", at positions 103 to 354 of the family's 1533-position model. The record is from RNAcentral.